This 21-nucleotide non-coding RNA is filed under the name Caenorhabditis elegans. The record is from RNAcentral. Lineage: Eukaryota; Metazoa; Nematoda; Chromadorea; Rhabditida; Rhabditidae.
UCGAUUUUCAUAUAUCUUACA